UGGGGAAUAUUGGGCGAUGGGCGCAAGCCUGACCCAGCAACGCCGCGUGAGGGAAGAAGGUCUUCGGAUUGUAAACCUCUGUCCUUGGGGACGAAAGAAAUGACGGUACCCAAGGAGGAAGCUCCGGCUAACUACGUGCCAGCAGCCGCGGUAAUACGUAGGGAGCGAGCGUUGUCCGGAAUUACUGGGCGUAAAGGGUGCGUAGGCGGCGGUGCAAGUCAGAUGUGAAAUCCCCGGGCUUAACCCGGGGGGUGCAUUUGAAACUGCAUUGCUUGAGUGCAGGAGAGGAAAGCGGAAUUCCUAGUGUAGCGGUGAAAUGCGUAGAUAUUAGGAGGAACACCAGUGGCGAAGGCGGCUUUCUGGACUGUAACUGACGCUGAGGCACGAAAGCGUGGGGAGCAAACAG
Molecule: ribosomal RNA, 406 nt
Filed under: uncultured bacterium
Lineage: Bacteria
Description: bacterial SSU rRNA
Rfam family: Bacterial small subunit ribosomal RNA
Source: RNAcentral